This is a non-coding RNA of Procambarus clarkii (red swamp crayfish), 246 nucleotides long. The record is from RefSeq and is a predicted model, not a curated record. NCBI's taxonomy places the organism in Eukaryota, Metazoa, Arthropoda, Malacostraca, Decapoda, Cambaridae.
CAGGAUUGUCUACGGUCUUAUCCUCGUCGCCGUUGGUCACACCCACAAACAAGGCGAAGUCCAUUCCCCUCUCCUUACCCUUAGGCAAGAGUAGUCUGUUGGGGAUGCCACACGACCGUUCGAACUCGUGAAGGUCAAGUUCGCUGCCGCUUGCUAUAGCCUGGUCAGUUUUCGUCUUCAGUGUCUCAAAGCUUGGUCUGUCAGGGACUGUUACUGAAGAGUCAACGGACUUGCGAACAACGUGGU